UGAGCAAUCUGCCCUUCUCUUCGGAAUAAGCGUUGGAAACAACGUCUAAUGCCGAAUACGACCUCCUUUCGCAUGAUCGGAGGUGGAAAGCUCCGGCGGAGAAGGAUGAGCUCGCGGCCUAUCAGCUAGUUGGUGUGGGUAAUGGCCUACCAAGGCUUCGACGGGUAGCCGGCCUGAGAGGGUGAUCGGCCACACGUGGGACUGAGACACGGCCCAGACCUCCGUACGGGAGCAG
Molecule: ribosomal RNA, 235 nt
Filed under: uncultured bacterium
Lineage: Bacteria
Description: partial 16S ribosomal RNA
Rfam family: Bacterial small subunit ribosomal RNA
Source: RNAcentral